Molecule: ribosomal RNA, 1198 nt
Filed under: uncultured bacterium
Lineage: Bacteria
Description: bacterial SSU rRNA
Rfam family: Bacterial small subunit ribosomal RNA
Source: RNAcentral
CCAACCAGGCGGCGUGGAAAGAAUGCAAGUCGAGCGCUGAUUACGAGGUAGCAAUAUUUCGUAGUCGGAGCGGCGCAAGGGUGCGUAACACGUGGGUAACCUGCCAUGAAGUUUGGGAUAACUUGCUGAAAGGCGAGCUAAUACCGGAUGUGACGAUCGGAGGGCAUCUUCCGAUCUUCAAAGCUGGGGACCGUAAGGCCUGGCGCUUCAUGAUGAGCCCGCGGCCUAUCAGCUAGUUGGUGAGGUAACGGCUCACCAAGGCUAAGACGGGUAGCUGGUCUGAGAGGACGACCAGCCACACUGGAACUGAGACACGGUCCAGACACCUACGGGUGGCAGCAGUCGAGAAUUUUUCACAAUGGGCGCAAGCCUGAUGGAGCGACGCCGCGUGGGGGAUGAAUGGCUUCGGCCCGUAAACCCCUGUCAUUUGCGAACAAUUCGGUUCAAUUAACACCUGAACCGUUGAUAGUAGCGAAAGAGGAAGGGACGGCUAACUCUGUGCCAGCAGCCGCGGUAAUACAGAGGUCCCAAGCGUUGUUCGGAUUCACUGGGCGUAAAGGGUGCGUAGGUGGUGAGGUAAGUCGGAUGUGAAAUCUCGGAGCUCAACUCCGAAACUGCAUUGGAAACUACCUCGCUCGAGGGUUGGAGGGGGGACUGGAAUGCUUGGUGUAGCAGUGAAAUGCGUAGAUAUCAAGCGGAACACCAGUGGCGAAGGCGAGUCCCUGGACAACUCCUGACACUGAUGCACGAAAGCUAGGGGAGCAAACAGGAUUAGAUACCCUGGUAGUCCUAGCCGUAAACGGUGCGUGUUUGCUGUAAGAGGAAUCGACCCCUUUUGUGGCGGAGCCAACGCGUUAAACACGCCGCCUGGGAAGUACGGUCGCAAGAUUAAAACUCAAAGAAAUUGACGGGGGCCUGCACAAGCGGUGGAGUAUGUGGCUCAAUUCGAUGCAACGCGAAGAACCUUACCUGGCCUUGACAUGUACGUAGUAGAAGGGUGAAAGCCUGACGAGAUAGCAAUAUCAGCGUACACAGGUGCUGCAUGGCUGUCGUUCAGCUCGUGUCGUGGAGAUGUUGGGUUAAGUCCCGCAACGAGCGCAACCCCUGUGGUCCUGUUGCACCCCGGCUGAAAGGCUUGAGGCACUCUGGACAGACUGCCCUCGCCUUAAACCGAAGGAAGGAAGGGUGGGGGGAUGGA